UCUAAUACCGGAUAUGACUCAAGGUCGCAUGGKCUUGGGUGGAAAGCUCCGGCGGUGCGGGAUGGGCCCGCGGCCUAUCAGCUUGUUGGUGAGGUAACGGCUCACCAAGGCGACGACGGG
Molecule: ribosomal RNA, 120 nt
Filed under: Streptomyces thermovulgaris
Lineage: Bacteria; Bacillati; Actinomycetota; Actinomycetes; Kitasatosporales; Streptomycetaceae
Description: partial 16S rRNA
Rfam family: Bacterial small subunit ribosomal RNA
Source: RNAcentral